This is an RNA transcript of Oncorhynchus nerka (sockeye salmon), 6780 nucleotides long. It is a transcript of the gene named neural cell adhesion molecule 1-like, with no coding region annotated. Lineage: Eukaryota; Metazoa; Chordata; Actinopteri; Salmoniformes; Salmonidae. The transcript has 18 exons. The record is from RefSeq and is a predicted model, not a curated record.
CAUCCAUUGCCCCCCUUGAGUGUGUGAGCACGAACAUUUUGCCCAGGCGGAUUAAUUCGUGUUGUGUGUGUGCUACGGCUGCUAGUCACUCAUUCUGCGAGCUGCUCUCGUGCGUAUUCGGGUAGCUGCAAGGACCAACUCGAAUAUUGCUAUCAGAAUACAGUAGUUGGAAAACAUACAUUUCUUCAGAACACUGAAAUCGUUGUCAAGUCUGUCCAUCUAUUCUUCAAGGAGAAUAUCUUUGUGAGAUAUUGCAAUGCUUCAAACAAGGUAUCUCAUCUGGGCAUUGCUCUUUGGCUAUGCAGCCUCCCUGCAGGUGGAGAUCACCCCGAUGCAAGGAGAGAUCAGUAUGGGGGAGUCAAAAUUCUUCCUCUGUGAAGUUGUCGGAGAUGUAAAGGACAUUGAUUGGUAUGCCCCGAACGGCGAGAAGCUCCUACCGAACCGACAGGACAUCCUCGUGAACCGCAACGACGAGUCCUCGUCCACUCUCACGAUCUAUAACGCCAACGUGGACAAUGCCGGCAUCUACAAGUGUGUUGCCAAAAAUGGAGACAAGGAGUCUCAGGGCACCGUCAACGUUAAAAUCUUCCAAAAGAUAACCUUCAAGAACGCCCCUUCCCCACAGGAGUUCAAUGAAGGGGAUGACGCUGACAUCAUCUGUGACGUCGUCAGCUCGCCUCCUGCUGACAUCAUCUGGAAGCACAAAGGCUCAAAGAUCCAGGUUGCAAAAGACGUUCGAUUUAAGAUCCUGACCAACAACCACCUCCAGAUCCGAGGCAUCAAGAAAACCGAUGAAGGGGCGUACACCUGUGAGGCUCGUGUAAUGACCAGGGGAGAGAUUGACCUAAAGAUCAUCAAGGUCAUCGUCAACGUGCUCCCUAGCAUCCGCACCAGGCAGUCGGAGAUGAAUGCCACGGCGGACGUCAACCAGUCUGUGAUGCUGGCCUGUGACGCUGACGGCUUCCCUGAACCCACAGUCACCUGGGCCCGUAACAACAUUGUCCUUGAGUCGGACGAUAAGUACGGCCUGAACAACGACGGCUCGGAGCUGAUAAUAAAAGAUGUCAAGAAAGUGGAUGAAGGAGAUUACACGUGCAUCGCCCGGAACAAGGCCGGGGAGAAAGAGGAGGAAGUCAGCUUGAAUGUGUUCGUGCAACCUAAGAUCACCUAUCUGGUCAACCAGACUGCAUCAGAGCUGGAGGAGCAGAUCACCCUGACCUGCGAGGCCUCAGGAGACCCCACCCCCACCAUCACCUGGAGCUUUGGCCGCAGGAUCUUCACAGAGGGAGAGCAGGCUUCUUGGACUCGGCCUGAGACGUACGAGAGUCUUGAUGGGAAUGUUGUGGUGCGUAGUCACGCACGGGUUUCCUCUCUCACCUUGAAGUAUGUCCAGUUCACCGAUGCCGGCCACUACCUCUGCACUGCCCGCAACUCCAUCGGUCAAGACCAGCAGACCAUGUACCUGGAAGUCCGCUAUGCUCCCAAGAUCCAGGGCUCGGUGACGGUCUACACCUGGGAAGGGAACGCAGCCAACAUCAGCUGUGAGGUGCUGGCUCAUCCGGGAGCCUCAGUGGUGUGGUUCAGAGAUGGCCAGCAGCUGUCUAGCACUAACACCACCAACGUCAAGAUCUACAACACACCAGCUGUCAGCUACCUCGAGGUCACCCCAGAUUCCCAGAAUGACUUUGGAAGCUACAACUGCACAGCUACCAACAUGAUCGGAGCAGAGUCCAAGGAGUUCCUCCUGAUCCCAGCAGAUGUGCCGUCGGCACCCGCCAUCGAGCGAGUGGAGCCCUUCUCCAGCACCGCCGUUGUGGAGUUUGAGGAGCCCGAUGCCAGCGGCGGCGUUGCCAUCCUCAAGUACCGGGCAGAGUGGCGCAUGCAGGGUGAAGACUGGACCGGCAGGGAGUACGAUGCAGAGGAGGGCCUGAGCAUGAUCACCAUCGUUGGCCUGAAGCCCGAGACCUUCUAUGAGGUCAAGAUGUCCGCCAUCAACGGCAAGGGCGAGGGCGAGAGCAGCCCUCCCCAGAACUUCAAGACUGAGCCAGUCCGCUAUGCUUUCACAAGUGGCAUACCAUUUCAUUACUCUAACGUGGACUCAGUUUCGUCAGUGACACCAACCUUCAUUCCUUCAACAAGUGCAGCCCUUAGUGAGUAUGCCGGCAGUAUGUGGUGUGUCUCUCUCUCUACCCCCGAUGUCCCUCUAUGUCUGCUUGGUCUUACCACUGCUUAGUGCUGCGUCAUCACUCUGUAGAGAGAACCGGUGUAGUGACAAGGAGCUACUGAUGUACUGUUAUUAGUUAUAGGGAUGUGAUACAGAGAGACAGUCACUGACUCUGCUCACUGCCUCGAUCCUUAGUAGAGUUCCACUGACUAACCUCCGCCUGCGAGAAACAGGUUUCCCCUCUACUGCCUCUACUAUUUCCCUCUAAUUUCCUUCCAAUGAACGCAUGUAUUCAUCAGCAAUAUUCACACCACUGUGCAUUUAGCAUCGGCCCCCACAGUUUGUCGUGCGUUUAAUUUAGAGUGGAAACUUCCGAUUGGGCUUUACAGACAUUAUUUAUUUUUAUGUCAAAGCAGUGCAGCAUGCAUUUUAUUAGGGGAUUGAUCACUGUAACAUUAAUGAUCACUGCUGCAUGUUGUCUGAUUAGUCUAAAGAAGGAAGUGACCAUCCUUCCAUUUAAAUAACAUCGCCACCAUUAGCGUUAGCACACCAAGAGCUUCUCUGCCCUUUAGAUAUAUAACUAGUCUGCUCAUUCUAUCGCUCUUCCUGUCUGUGUGUCUGUGGCUCCUCUGCUAAACCAGGUGCAAUGUUUGAACACUCUUCUAAGAUGUAGGCAGCUCCCUCCCCUUCUCUCUUUCCCCUGGUGGCUUUGGUAUUGACAGUGACGUCAGGUAACAUUCCGGGUGUCCCAUGGGUAACCAUUACAGCAUGCGUUACAUAUACCUGUCGAGAAUAAGGGAGCCUGGCUUGACAGACAGCGAGGCGAGACAGAGAUUAUUCUGACAGACCGGAGGUUUUUGAAAGAGAACCAUUCUGUGAUUUAAAAAAAAAAGAGGGUGACGGUGUCUGCUGCCUACAAUUGGACAUUGUUGCCGUGCCAUCGGCAUGCUGUGCUUUGAAGGAUGGCCACAGGGAUAAUACAGUAAACAACAUGAAGAUCAGACUGCAUAGAAAAAAAAGACAGCAGUAUUUUGAUUUGACCAAUAUUUUAAACAAACUAAUGAAUGCCAAACCGUAGGGAUGUGAAUCCGUCCUAACAUAACUCCUGUUCUUCAUUAAAAGAGAAGGAUGGAAAGGGAAAAGGGGAGGGAUAAAAUAAAAAAAAGGCUCAGGUGGUGAAGAACGAGAGGCAUGAAUAAGCGACUUCCUUUUAUACGAUAAAGCUAUGUUAUCUUGUAGAAGUGGUUGUUGAUAUCACUUACUGAUGAGAUUAUUUUGAAUUGAUUAGGAAAGUUGUGGUUUGUUGUUUAAAUUUUGAAGUUCCCACAUGUGUAGCCUUUUCAUAUGUUUAAUGCUCUUAAGAAUUUGGAUACAUACAUGUUUGGGAAGGGCAAAUCGGGUAUCCCUAAAGUAUUGUUGGGAUAAGCAUGGCUGAUUUGAUUGGCUGAAUGCUUUGAUCCUGCUAUGGGUCAACAUUGGGCCCUGGUGUACAGUAUAGUUGUGUUCAUUGUGUGUGGCUGUGCUAUGGGUCUGUCAAAUUGCUGUUAUCUGUCUAAUGUAGAAAAUCUAAGGAUACCUGAGGAACUAUUUUGUAGGUCAUGUGCCAAGUAUAUUUCUAGGCUAACCAAUAUACAUAAUAUAACAGCUCUAAUAUAACAGUGCUCUAUUAGUUACUAAUUUGAUUUUGACUCACUUGUAGAAUAUUAAAUUGUAGUACAUAUACAGUGCAUUCGGAAUGUAUUGAGGCCCCUUGGCUUUUUACACAUUUUGUUACGUUACAGCCUUAUUCUAAAAUUUGAUUAAAUACACAUUUUUCCUCAUCAAUUUACACACAAUACCUCAUAAUGACCAAGCAAAAAACAGGUUUACAUUUUUUUGCUAAUUUAUUAAAAAUAAAAAAAGCAUAACUUAUUUAUGGUAGAGUGGCCAUAUGUAUUCAGACCCUUUGCUAUGAGACUCCAAAUGUAGCUAUGGUGCAUCCUGUUUCCAUUAAUCAUCCUUGAGAUGUUUCUUCAACUUGAUUGGAGUCCACCUGUGGUAAAUUCAAUUGAUUGGACAUAAUUUGGAAAGGCACACACCUGUCUAUAUAAGGUCUCACAGUUGACAGUGCAUGUUAGAGCAAAAACCAAGCCAUGAGGUCAAAGGAAUUGUCCGUAGAACUUCGAGACAGGUUUGUGUCAAAGCACAGAUCUGGAGAAGGGCAUCUAAUAUUUCUGCAGCAUUGAAGGUCCCCAAGAACACAGUUACCUCCAUUUUUAAAUGGAAGAAGUUUGGAACCAGCAAGACUCUUCCUAGAGCUGGCCUCCUGGCCAAUCGGGGGAGAAAGGCUUUGGUCAGGGAGGUGACCAAGAACCUGAUGGUUACUCUGACAGAGCUCCAGAGUUCCUCUGUGGAGAUGGGAGAACCUUACAGAAGGACAACCUUCUCUGCAGCACUCUACCAAUCAGGCCUUUAUGGUAGAGUGGCCAGAUGGAAGCCACUUCUCAUUAAAAGGUACAUGACUGCCCGCUUGGAGUUUGCCAAAAGGCAACUAAAGACUCUCAGACCAUGAGAAACAAGAUUCUCUGGUCUUAUGAAACCAAGAUUGAACUCUUUGUCCUGAAUGCCAACCGUCAUGUCUGGAGGAAACCUGGCACCAACCCUACGGUGAAGCAUGGUGUUGGCAGCAUUAUGCUGUGGGGAUGUUUUUCAGCGGCAGGGACUGGGAGAGUAUUCAGGAUUGAGGGGUAGAUGACUGGAGCAAAGUACAGAGAGAUCCUUGAUGAAAACCUGCUCCAUAGCACUCAGGACCUCCGGUUGGGGUGAAGGUUCACCUUCCAACAGGACAACGACCUGAAGCACACAGCCAAGACAACGCAUGAGUGGCUUCGGGUCUGAAUGUCCUUGAGUGGCAAAGUCAGAGCCCGGACUUGAACCUGAUGAAACAUCUCUGGAGAGACCUGAAAAUAGCUGUGCAGCGACACUCCCUAUCCGACCUGGCAGAGUUUGAGAGGAUCUGCAGAGAAGAAUGUGAGAAACUCGCCAAAUACAGGUGUGCCAAGCUUGUAGCGGCAUACCCACGAAGACUUGAGGCUGUAAUCGCUGCCAAAGUUGCUUCAACAAAGUACUGAGUAAAGGGUUUUCAUUUUUUAAAACUUUUUAUUAAUUUGUAAACAUUUCUAAACCAGUUUUUCCUUUGUCAUUGUGGGGUAUUUUGUGUAAAUUGAUGAAGGGGGAAAAAACAAUUUCAUCCAUUUUAGAAUAAGGCUGUAACGUAACAAAAUGUGGAAAAAGUCAAGGGGUCUGAAUACUUUCCGAAUGCACUGUAAGGUCUAUGUAAAUCAUAUAAAAAGAUUUAGUCAUUUAUCAAUACUGAUUGCCUUCAUGUGUGAUUAGUAUUCUAGCUGACUAAAUGUGAAAUAUGACAUGAGGAAUUUGCCCUAAAGGCUUCAAGUGUGUUUGCAUGUGCAUACGUUAAAUGUAUUUGACACCAGCUAAUCGGAGUAAGUAUGUUUUAUGUCUAGUGGUGUGUUUAGAAUUCAUAAAAUGAAGUUCAGAGUCCACUCUGUGUUUCUGUAAUUCAUGUUUCUUUCCUCUAUAAACAUAUUAAGCAUAAUAUCUUAAAGUAUGGGAAUUUAUACUAUGGUAUGGGUUUACACUGCAAUCUCAUACGUCGUGACCAUAUCUUUUGACAAUAUGGCCUUAGAUACAGUAUGCAAUUGUACAAUGUGUGACUGAAUGCUGAAUGUCAAAUGUGUCCCAAAUACUUUAACCCCCCCCCCCCCCCAAUGCUUCAUGUGGUCAUACAGUAGUUGUCAUAUUGGCAUACCAUAUUUCAUUGCGCAUGUAACCUUUUAUAAUGUGCUUUGUCAAUCAGUAUUGUUAAUACUGCAGAGUUUCCUCUGUUUUUCUUUUCUUUUACACAACUGUCUUGGUUGGAGCCAAAAUGUUCCAUUUAUACAGACCACAAGGCUGUAUGAAGACCCUUUAUGGUCAAGAGCCAAAGUAUAAGUGACAGUCUUAUACAAAGCCACUAUUUUUUGUGUGUAGAAAUAGUAUCGAACUGAUUUUCGCUUUAAUUACAGUCCAGAGGAAAUACUGUUUCAAAGAAAGAUGCAUGAGGCAAUUUUAGACAAAUAGCAUUUCAUGGAAUUGGUAUCCAGUCAAAUUUGUGCAUAUAUGAGUGAACUUAUUUCUGGUCAUGACAUCUUUUGAAUACAGUAAAAACCUGCACUUGCAAUCCUGAAAUGCUUCAUGUAUCUAAUUGCUGUACAUGUUUUCUAUGUCUAUUUGAUGUGCAAAGAAGUUCUGUACUGAACGUAUGUAUUUAUUUUGUCAUGUGUUUCUGUUUUGAAUCAUUUUGUCUUUAACAUUCUUAUUAUUUUGUUCCUUACCCAUGUUUACAUCAUUUUUAAAAUGUUUUGUAUUUUCCAUGUGACCCCCCCCCCUUCCACUUUUCUUUCAACCAAUCAUGUGCGUGCGUAUCAUAUGACUAUGUCAUGUGGCUCUUGCAUGGUGCUGAUGAUGUCGUCUUCGCUGGUGAACAGAAGGGGAGCCCAGUCCCCCUAAACUGGAGGGCAAGCUGCAGACCACGGGCAACGCCCUCAAGGUCAACUGGAUCAAGCAGGACGAUGGAG